CUCUAGGUAGCUUAAAAAAAGCUUCAGCCUCUUGAUCUGAAGAUAGGAACAUUUUCCUCCUAGAGG
RNAcentral lists this transfer RNA (66 nucleotides) under Stichopus horrens (warty sea cucumber). Its description in RNAcentral is "tRNA-Lys". It matches the Rfam family "tRNA". Rfam says of the family: Transfer RNA (tRNA) molecules are approximately 80 nucleotides in length. Their secondary structure includes four short double-helical elements and three loops (D, anti-codon, and T loops). Further hydrogen bonds mediate the characteristic L-shaped molecular structure. tRNAs have two regions of fundamental functional importance: the anti-codon, which is responsible for specific mRNA codon recognition, and the 3' end, to which the tRNAs corresponding amino acid is attached (by aminoacyl-tRNA synthetases). tRNAs cope with the degeneracy of the genetic code in two manners: having more than one tRNA (with a specific anti-codon) for a particular amino acid; and 'wobble' base-pairing, i.e. permitting non-standard base-pairing at the 3rd anti-codon position. RNAcentral also lists the same sequence under 1 other name. Lineage: Eukaryota; Metazoa; Echinodermata; Holothuroidea; Aspidochirotida; Stichopodidae. The record is from RNAcentral.